AGCGAACGCUGGCGGCAGGCCUAAUACAUGCAAGUCGAGCGCACCUUCGGGUGAGCGGCGGACGGGUGAGUAACGCGUGGGAACGUGCCCUUUGGUACGGGAUAACUGAGGGAAACUUCAGCUAAUACCGUAUGUGCCCUACGGGGGAAAGAUUUAUCGCCAUUGAAACGGCCCGUGUUGGAUUAGGUAGUUGGUGAGGUAAAGGCUCACCAAGCCGACGAUCCAGAGCUGGUCUAAGAGAAUGAUCAGACACACUGGGACUGAGACACGGCCCAGACUCCUACGGGAGGCAGCAGUAGGGAAUCUUGCGCAAUGGGCGAAAGCCUGACGCAGCCAUGCCGCGUGAAUGAUGAAGGUCUUAGGAUUGUAAAAUUCUUUCACCGGGGAAGAUAAUGACGGUACCCGGAGAAGAAGCCCCGGCUAACUUCGUGCCAGCCGCCGCGGUAA
This 447-nucleotide ribosomal RNA is filed under the name uncultured bacterium. Its description in RNAcentral is "partial 16S ribosomal RNA". It matches the Rfam family "Bacterial small subunit ribosomal RNA", at positions 29 to 523 of the family's 1533-position model. The record is from RNAcentral.